RNAcentral lists this small RNA (4820 nucleotides) under Rattus norvegicus (Norway rat). RNAcentral's name for it is "uncharacterized LOC102554773". The record is from RNAcentral. Lineage: Eukaryota; Metazoa; Chordata; Mammalia; Rodentia; Muridae.
AGUGGGCCAAGACUAGAUGCUCAUCAACGUAUGGAUGGAUGGUGCGUCUACACAAUGGCGUUUUAUGGGACCCUAAAGCAAACUGAAAUCAUGACAUUUGCAGGUAAAUGAGUGGAACUGGAGAUUGCUGUGUUGAAGGCGGUAGACACAGAAGGACAAACACCUCAUGUUUUCUCUCACAUAUGAUGUAGAUUUUGAUUGUUACCCAACCAGGAAAGCGAUCAUGAGAGUGGGAAAAGGAGCUCUUGGGUUGGAGGUGAGAAGAGAAACUAAAAAGUCAAGAGAACACAUGUGGCAAAAAAUGAGAAGAGGGACUCCUGAGGGAGGAAGCCAGCGGAGCAGGGUAAGGAACUGGGGGCAAUCAGCAGAAUCGGAGCAUGGUAAUGCAUACCUUUCAUUAAGCCUAUCCCUUUGCAUGCUAAUAUUGGAAACCAAUUAAGAGUUUAAAUUAAUAGUUUUCUCAACUAUGUUUUGAGCUGAGUAACAAUGCCAUGCGUUAUCAGAAAGAAAUUAUAAAGCUGACUUCAUACUUCUUAGGUUUGAAGUAGAUUGGGGACAUCUAAGAAAAGAUGUUGAAUGGGGCAACCGGAGAGGUGGAAGCUGGAACUGUGAUUGAGAAACUGUUUGCUAGUGGACAGAGAAGAGAACAUGGUGAUGUCGUGUGGGUACUGCAAAAGAACUGCCAGGGCUAAAACCUGAGAAGCCCAAGAGGCUCCAUGAGAACGGGGUCCAGUGGUGCAGUGGAAGACGAAAAAUGGCUCUGUAAUUUCAACAACAUGGAAGGCCAAGACAGGAGAACAGAGACUCAAUAGCCAGUCUGAAAUACAGUGUGAGGCCCCAUGGUUAAUUACUAACUAAUAACAUCGUUGCAUUGGUUUAAUGGGGGUGGAGAGUGGGCUCUACUUCUUUACAAAAGAGGGAGGGGAUGUUGACUCUGUUUAAAAAAGCAAGACAAAGGCAAUAAGAAACAAUUGCUAUUUAUAGGAAAGCAGAGAAAGUGCCCAAACAGACAUGAGAUCAGGGCUGUAGUGGACUUACCAACAGCAGGAGCAAUUCUCAAGGUGCUUUGCUUUUUAAAGUCCUCCAUAGCUUCUCCUAGGGCUUCAUGGCUCCCACCUGUGAUCCUAGCACAUAGUGUGGUGAGGCAGGAAGGUGGCAACAAGUUCAAGGCCAGUCUGUGUAACAAGGUAUGAUUUUUUUUUCUUAAAGGGAAGGCUUGCAUUGAGUGUCUUCACUGAGUCAGACUCUGACUUUAAUAAGAUCCUCCAGGUGAUCCAACGGUGUGAGGUUGAGUGCUGUGUGAGGUGGAGGGAGAGUGACACUGAGUGGACUAGUAAAGUUAACAAUGGAAAUAAAAUGAAAGGGCACUUUAGCCUUCGCUGUGGAAGAAUGUGUAUGUCCUGUGGUCAGUAGUUUUCAUUUUAAUUGCAUUUUAGGAAUGCAUACCUUAGAAAUGAUCUUGGAAAUGACAACAGGAAAGAGGGCAUUAGUGCUUUGUUUCUAAUGCAUAAGACUCUGACAAAUAACCCAGAACUGUGGGAUGAACUCACAGGAAGUAAUAAUCCUACUGAGCGUUGCCUUUUACUUGAGGCAAUUAAUAAAUGAAAUAAAUGAAUAAAUAAUUAAACAAAAACAAAUUUCUAAAGAAGACCAUUCACACUGAUCAGCAAAUCCAAGAGCAGAGGCCAAACAUCUCCAUGUUUCCUUCUCUUCCAUUUCUUUAUCUGCAGAGAAGGAAUGGAUGGAGCACACAGUCAUUCUAUCCUAAAAUGCAUUAAGUGGAAAAGAAUAAUUUCCUCUUAGCAUAGCAAGCAGAAAUGUAAAACAUAGAUCAAAACAGUCUAUCAGAACAGACUGGGUAAGCCACAGCUCCUCCACAGUAGAGGGUUGUACUAAUGGGCUAAACUCUUGUUGGUGGGUGCUUGUUUGGUUUUGUUUUUUAAGUCUUUCCUUUUGUUUGUGUGUUUGACGGUGGCUCUUUUUCUAUCAUUCUUUCUGUCUGUGGUUAAACUAUUAUUUAGGAGUCAGAUCUUGUAUGUUUUCAUAACCACUCACUCUUAAGCAAUAAGUCUUUGUAUAGAGAAGACUAACAGUUAUGUUCACAGUGAAAUCCAUUUCAUUUCAGUAAAGGCAGCAAAAAUUUCCCUUAAGAGUUAGUGUGCUAACAAAGACGAUCUUUAAGCUAUUAAAAACAACAACGGGACAUAGUUGACACUUUGUACAAAACACUGCUUUUAAUUACCACUGCAGAACACGACUCACAUGUUGUCACCAGUGGCCAGCCGUAAAUACGUUUGAUUUUCCGAGCUCAAGUAAAAUGAUAUUUUUUCUUGCAAUAAUUUGUUUAUAAUAGUCCAUUAACAUCCAACUACUUUACCCAGUAUGAAAACAGUAUGUUUUAGGACUACUAUAAAUGUGGAAAUUCACUAGAAUGAAAAAUAAUUAAAAUAAUACUAAGCCAAUUCUGUCUCAAUACUUGUAUCCACUUCACUAAGAUUUCAUUUCUACAAGAAGCCAGGCAUGUUGUGAUACACUGGCAACAACAGGCUCCCUAAUAAAGCUUACACUGUAAUAGAAGAGAGAGCAAUUAAUCAAGUAAUUGCAUAGGUAAAUGAGUAAUUGCACUUGUGAUUCAUGCUGUGAGGAGUGUUAUGGAAUGUGUCACAUGUGUGUUCGAUCUGUUAGGGGAGGUCACUGGCAGGCAGGUGUAGAGUGGAAGGAAGGCUAUUUCAAGCAGACCGACAUUUGUAAUAUUUACUGUUUUUCCUCUUCUUCAGUUCUACAGCUGUAAACCACCUGCCCUCAGAGCUACUGACUUCAUACUUCUCCUUUUCUAAAGGAUCAGAGUCCAGGCUUUCCAGACUGUACUGAGGUGGCCUAAGUGACCAAUGCAAACACUGUGAUGGCUAUUCAACACGUGAAGCCCAACGCUGUGACAUCAUUUGGACACCAUGCACACUACUAACUUGAGGGUAAUCAGAGCUGCGGACUGAUGGAGUGGAAAGAGUGCUGGGCAGAGGGCCAGAGUCUCAGAGUUCAAGCUUGUUGCUGUAACAUUCGCCAGCUCUGCAUCCUCAGCAAAGAAAUUGCCCGAGUCUUGGAAUCUCUGGAUGACGGACAUGGCCAAUGCUCCUGGCUUCACAUGAAGACGAAAUCAGACCUUAAAUUUUCAUUCGGCAUUCUGUCUGCAGGUUCCUGAUUAUGAAGCUGGAAAUACAUGUGGAGGAUCCUUGACAUGCCCGCUCUGAGCCAUGCCUCCACUCACGGGCCCUGUUUUGACUUCAGGUUUAAAGUCCAGCUGAGUGACUCUCUGUGUUUUCACCAUGGGGCUGCGUCUUUCUUCAAUAUCCAGCUGAGCAGAAAGAAGCAAUGUCCGUCUCUGCAAUCUGUUCUAGUGCAGACACCCGCGACAGGCGACGUCAUCAACUACUUUAGCGUUUCAAGGUGACGUCAAAGCUUCCGUCCAAUCUGCAGGCAUGAGAGGAAGAAUUCUGUCCUAACAUUCCUUGCGUGUCCUUAGACAAGAAGAGAGAAACAUCUGGGAAGGAAGAGCAUGACAACAUCAGCCUCUGAGGUUUGCAGCCUAGUGUGUCAGCCAUGAUGACUGCAAUCUCUGCUAAAGUUACCAGAAAUAGAUUUCAACUCACAGUGCAGUUUCUCCAUUAGAGCAUUCCGUUUCUAAUGCUCCAUUACCCAGCAAGUGGAAUGCCACCAGAGAAGGAGGUAGAGUCAGCACCAAGCAUCAAAGAAAGAAGAGCAUCUCCCGUGAGUACACACAAAGAAGGAUUGUAUAGUGCUCACUGCAAGCUAACAGGUCAGAUAAGUGAGUUGACUCAUUACUGAAGUGCGAGUUUGUAAACUUCGACUGUGUGGUGGAGCACAGCAGACAGCAGACCAAAGCAAAUUCACAUUCCAGAACUUCCUCAGCCACAGGCUGGAUCUGCUGCCCUGAAAUGGGUGCUUUCGUUUUCUAGGUUCUGCUUUUCUCUUCUGUAAAGUCGUGUGGCUGAUCUCAAAGGUUCUUUCCAGCUCAGGAUCUCUAUGUUUCUAAGCAAGGAACCACGUGCUUUACUGCAAACUCAAGAGCCAGUCAUAAGGGCAAGACACCUUUCACUCUUACUGUCUGCAAAGUCAUACGGAAACAAAAUGAGUAAAAGUGUUCCUUCUAGAAUAAAGCAGAAAGUGCCCUCAUAUGCCUCUGUGGGGAGCAUGACUGUAUUUUGACUCUUUGGCACAUGUAAUUUUUAAAAAAGUUGGGACUCACAUCAUAAAUAAUGUUGAAUGGAGCUUACCAACAUCCAUACAGAAGUACCUAGCAACUUUUCAUGACUGCACUGGGGGAUUCCUUACAUCAAAGACACAUCGUAUUUAUCUCAACAAAGAUACUGGAUGAGAACUUGAAAUGAAUAUGUUAAGCAAUGAGUAGUUUUCAGUCACAAUCCCUGUAAAAACAAAUUUGGGGAAAUUACCAAGCAACAUAUGUGAGGCCAGAGAGAUGCAUUGCUGACUUCUUUUUGUUUACCUGCUAGUAGAGUAUGUUUUAAAUAUUCAUUAAAUUAUUUAAUAUAGGACUUUGAUUAUUAACCUCCAACAAAUAGCUACAUCUUAAAAAUUAAAAUUACAGCUAAGCUCUGGCCUUCAUGUGGGUCUGGAACAACUGGAAUGGAGGCUAUGCAAAAUCUGUUGCCUGUAUGUGGAAUAUGUUGUACUACCUGGGCUACAUUGUGAGUCCUCUGUGGAAGAAGUGCCUAGCCUCAAAGACAUGAAGUGCCAUUGUUGGAGGUCAGGUAUACCCAGGGGGUCCUACCCACUCAGAAGAG